Molecule: ribosomal RNA, 1550 nt
Filed under: Klebsiella pneumoniae
Lineage: Bacteria; Pseudomonadati; Pseudomonadota; Gammaproteobacteria; Enterobacterales; Enterobacteriaceae
Description: bacterial SSU rRNA
Rfam family: Bacterial small subunit ribosomal RNA
Source: RNAcentral
AAAUUGAAGAGUUUGAUCAUGGCUCAGAUUGAACGCUGGCGGCAGGCCUAACACAUGCAAGUCGAGCGGUAGCACAGAGAGCUUGCUCUCGGGUGACGAGCGGCGGACGGGUGAGUAAUGUCUGGGAAACUGCCUGAUGGAGGGGGAUAACUACUGGAAACGGUAGCUAAUACCGCAUAAUGUCGCAAGACCAAAGUGGGGGACCUUCGGGCCUCAUGCCAUCAGAUGUGCCCAGAUGGGAUUAGCUUGUAGGUGGGGUAACGGCUCACCUAGGCGACGAUCCCUAGCUGGCCUGAGAGGAUGACCAGCCACACUGGAACUGAGACACGGUCCAGACUCCUACGGGAGGCAGCAGUGGGGAAUAUUGCACAAUGGGCGCAAGCCUGAUGCAGCCAUGCCGCGUGUGUGAAGAAGGCCUUCGGGUUGUAAAGCACUUUCAGCGGGGAGGAAGGCGGUGAGGUUAAUAACCUCAUCGAUUGACGUUACCCGCAGAAGAAGCACCGGCUAACUCCGUGCCAGCAGCCGCGGUAAUACGGAGGGUGCAAGCGUUAAUCGGAAUUACUGGGCGUAAAGCGCACGCAGGCGGUCUGUCAAGUCGGAUGUGAAAUCCCCGGGCUCAACCUGGGAACUGCAUUCGAAACUGGCAGGCUAGAGUCUUGUAGAGGGGGGUAGAAUUCCAGGUGUAGCGGUGAAAUGCGUAGAGAUCUGGAGGAAUACCGGUGGCGAAGGCGGCCCCCUGGACAAAGACUGACGCUCAGGUGCGAAAGCGUGGGGAGCAAACAGGAUUAGAUACCCUGGUAGUCCACGCCGUAAACGAUGUCGAUUUGGAGGUUGUGCCCUUGAGGCGUGGCUUCCGGAGCUAACGCGUUAAAUCGACCGCCUGGGGAGUACGGCCGCAAGGUUAAAACUCAAAUGAAUUGACGGGGGCCCGCACAAGCGGUGGAGCAUGUGGUUUAAUUCGAUGCAACGCGAAGAACCUUACCUGGUCUUGACAUCCACAGAACUUUCCAGAGAUGGAUUGGUGCCUUCGGGAACUGUGAGACAGGUGCUGCAUGGCUGUCGUCAGCUCGUGUUGUGAAAUGUUGGGUUAAGUCCCGCAACGAGCGCAACCCUUAUCCUUUGUUGCCAGCGGUCCGGCCGGGAACUCAAAGGAGACUGCCAGUGAUAAACUGGAGGAAGGUGGGGAUGACGUCAAGUCAUCAUGGCCCUUACGACCAGGGCUACACACGUGCUACAAUGGCAUAUACAAAGAGAAGCGACCUCGCGAGAGCAAGCGGACCUCAUAAAGUAUGUCGUAGUCCGGAUUGGAGUCUGCAACUCGACUCCAUGAAGUCGGAAUCGCUAGUAAUCGUAGAUCAGAAUGCUACGGUGAAUACGUUCCCGGGCCUUGUACACACCGCCCGUCACACCAUGGGAGUGGGUUGCAAAAGAAGUAGGUAGCUUAACCUUCGGGAGGGCGCUUACCACUUUGUGAUUCAUGACUGGGGUGAAGUCGUAACAAGGUAACCGUAGGGGAACCUGCGGUUGGAUCACCUCCUUACCUUAAAGAA